UGUGUCACAGCUACCACAUAUUUAGAAGAUCAGCAGUGACUAGAUGAGAAAAAGUACUUGGAGGUUAUUUGUAAAUUGAAAUGAAAGAACCGAAGACCUGACAGCUACACCUUGCCUUCCCAGAGGAUUGCCUCAGGAAAAAAUUUAUAAGACCCCCCCCCAACCUGCAUUCACAAUGGGAGGAAAAGUGAUGAAACAGAAGCAUAAAGACAUGGCCCAAGGUCAUAUAGGAAGAAGGGAAGAAAGGAUUAUAAGGGCAUCUGACUAUGAAAUCCUCUGUUAUACUAUUGCCUUUCCAACAACGGACAUGCUAAAACUGACAACAUGAUGGCCUAAACAUUACUUCCUGCUCAGGCAAGCUUGAGAAGAUGGGAUCAAGGGAGUUUUGUGGUCCACUGAGCAAAGGAUGGGAAAAUCAGAAAGAUUCUGAGUUAUAAUCCCAG
Long non-coding RNA from Nyctereutes procyonoides (raccoon dog), 443 nucleotides. RefSeq lists it as uncharacterized. The transcript is spliced from 3 exons. Lineage: Eukaryota; Metazoa; Chordata; Mammalia; Carnivora; Canidae. The record is from RefSeq and is a predicted model, not a curated record.